RNAcentral lists this ribosomal RNA (206 nucleotides) under uncultured bacterium. Its description in RNAcentral is "partial 16S ribosomal RNA". It matches the Rfam family "Bacterial small subunit ribosomal RNA", at positions 1295 to 1500 of the family's 1533-position model. The record is from RNAcentral.
AGACUGCAGGCUGCAACUCGCCUGCACGAAGUCGGAAUUGCUAGUAAUCGUAGGUCAGCAUACUACGGUGAAUACGUUCCCGGGCCUUGUACACACCGCCCGUCAAACCAUGAGAGUUGGCAACACCCGAAGUCGGUAGUCUAACCGCAAGGAGGACGCCGCCGAAGGUGGGGUGGAUGAUUAGGGUUAAGUCGUAACAAGGUAAC